UCCCUACGGGAGGCAGCAGGCGCGAAAACUUUACAAUGCGGGAAACCGCGAUAAGGGGACACCGAGUGCCAGCAUCUUAUGUUGGCUGUCCGCAUGUAUAAAUCACAUGUGUUAGCAAGGGCCGGGCAAGACCGGUGCCAGCCGCCGCGGUAACACCGGCGGCCCGAGUGGUGGCCACUAUUGUUGGGUCUAAAGGGUCCGUAGCCGGUUUGGUCAGUCUUCCGGGAAAUCUGACGGCUUAACCGUUAGGCUUUCGGGGGAUACUACCAGGCUUGGGACCGGGAGAGGUAAGAGGUACUACGGGGGUAGGAGUGAAAUCUUGUAAUCCUUGAGGGACCACCAGUGGCGAAGGCGUCUCACCAGAACGGACCUGACGGCAAGGGACGAAAGCUAGGGGCACGAACCGGAUUAGAUACCCUAGUAGUCCC
Molecule: ribosomal RNA, 428 nt
Filed under: uncultured Methanosarcinaceae archaeon
Lineage: Archaea; Methanobacteriati; Methanobacteriota; Methanomicrobia; Methanosarcinales; Methanosarcinaceae
Description: bacterial SSU rRNA
Rfam family: Archaeal small subunit ribosomal RNA
Source: RNAcentral